ACGGCAGAGACCCCAACCAUGAUGGAAACACGUCCUUGAUUCUGUUGCUUUCCAUGUUCACAAGUUGCAAAGCUUUGCAGUUGAUCAAAGACUUUGGAAGGUUUCCCUCGAGCUGGUUGCGGCUGACGUCUAGUGAACGUAACUCGAUAGCAUUGGCAAAGAUAUCUGGAAGUGUUCCGCUGAAGCUGUUAUUGCGGAGAAUCAGGUCACUAAAGGAAGCAAUGGAAUCCUCCAAGCAUAGAGGAAUGGAGCCGUUGAAGAGAUUGUUGGACAAAUCUAAGAAGCUUAACCCUUUAGUAUUGCAAAUCCAAUGAGGGAAUGGUCCUUGAAAUGAGUUUGAAUUCAGAUCCAACGCUUGGAUCAGUGUUUCUUGUGAAGGGUUUUCAAAGCUGCUGAAAAAGUUGUUAGAAAGUGUCACCGUUGUCAAUCUCCAUAAGCGUUCACAAGUUGCAAAGCUUUGCAGUUGAUCAAAGACUUUGGAAGGUUUCCCUCGAGCUGGUUGCGGCUGACGUCUAGUGAACGUAACUCGAUAGCAUUGGCAAAGAUAUCUGGAAGUGUUCCGCUGAAGCUGUUAUUGCGGAGAAUCAGGUCACUAAAGGAAGCAAUGGAAUCCUCCAAGCAUAGAGGAAUGGAGCCGUUGAAGAGAUUGUUGGACAAAUCUAAGAAGCUUAACCCUUUAGUAUUGCAAAUCCAAUGAGGGAAUGGUCCUUGAAAUGAGUUUGAAUUCAGAUCCAACGCUUGGAUCAGUGUUUCUUGUGAAGGGUUUU
RNAcentral lists this long non-coding RNA (767 nucleotides) under Brassica napus (rape). RNAcentral's name for it is "long non-coding RNA (BNAP_LNC001428)". Lineage: Eukaryota; Viridiplantae; Streptophyta; Magnoliopsida; Brassicales; Brassicaceae. The record is from RNAcentral.